RNAcentral lists this ribosomal RNA (457 nucleotides) under Morganella morganii. RNAcentral's name for it is "bacterial SSU rRNA". It matches the Rfam family "Bacterial small subunit ribosomal RNA", at positions 1 to 454 of the family's 1533-position model. The record is from RNAcentral. Lineage: Bacteria; Pseudomonadati; Pseudomonadota; Gammaproteobacteria; Enterobacterales; Morganellaceae.
UAAUUGAAGAGUUUGAUCAUGGCUCAGAUUGAACGCUGGCGGCAGGCCUAACACAUGCAAGUCGGGCGGUAACAGGGAGAAGCUUGCUUCUCCGCUGACGAGCGGCGGACGGGUGAGUAAUGUAUGGGGAUCUGCCUGAUGGAGGGGGAUAACUACUGGAAACGGUAGCUAAUACCGCAUAAUGUCUUCGGACCAAAGCGGGGGACCUUCGGGCCUCGCGCCAUCAGAUGAACCCAUAUGGGAUUAGCUUGUAGGUGAGGUAACGGCUCACCUAGGCGACGAUCCCUAGCUGGUCUGAGAGGAUGAUCAGCCACACUGGGACUGAGACACGGCCCAGACUCCUACGGGAGGCAGCAGUGGGGAAUAUUGCACAAUGGGCGCAAGCCUGAUGCAGCCAUGCCGCGUGUAUGAAGAAGGCCUUCGGGUUGUAAAGUACUUUCAGUCGGGAGGAAGGUGU